Molecule: transfer RNA, 72 nt
Filed under: Felis catus (domestic cat)
Lineage: Eukaryota; Metazoa; Chordata; Mammalia; Carnivora; Felidae
Also listed under: 4 other names
Rfam family: tRNA
About the family: Transfer RNA (tRNA) molecules are approximately 80 nucleotides in length.
Source: Rfam by way of RNAcentral
GCCUGCCUGGCUCUGUCGGUAGAGCAUGGGACUCGUGAUGCCAGCUCGUGAGUUCGAGCCCCAUGUUGGGCG